This 345-nucleotide ribosomal RNA is filed under the name Triticum aestivum (bread wheat). RNAcentral's name for it is "partial small subunit ribosomal RNA". Lineage: Eukaryota; Viridiplantae; Streptophyta; Magnoliopsida; Poales; Poaceae. The record is from RNAcentral.
AUGACCGCCCUCUCCUUCUCGAUCAGCAACGUCUACGCCCCCUCGGAUCACGCCCUCAUGACGGAAUUCGUCGACGACCUCCUUGCGGUCGCCCGGGGCAUCUCCGCCCGCUGGAUGGUGCUUGGAGAUUUCAACUUGAUUCGUUUCCCCCACGAGAAAAACAACGAUCGGUUUGAUGCCUCCCGCGCUGCGGUUUUUAACUCUCUCAUCAACAGCCUUGCGCUGCAUGAGCUCGCUCUGUCUGAUCGUCUUUUCACCUGGACAAAUAAGCAAGACCCGCCCACGCUUGCUCGCUUGGACCGCGUCUUCUUCGACUCGGCCUGGGACGUAGCCUUUCCGGACUAG